RNAcentral lists this ribosomal RNA (2904 nucleotides) under Escherichia coli. RNAcentral describes it as "23S ribosomal RNA". It matches the Rfam family "Bacterial large subunit ribosomal RNA". The record is from RNAcentral. Lineage: Bacteria; Pseudomonadati; Pseudomonadota; Gammaproteobacteria; Enterobacterales; Enterobacteriaceae.
GGUUAAGCGACUAAGCGUACACGGUGGAUGCCCUGGCAGUCAGAGGCGAUGAAGGACGUGCUAAUCUGCGAUAAGCGUCGGUAAGGUGAUAUGAACCGUUAUAACCGGCGAUUUCCGAAUGGGGAAACCCAGUGUGUUUCGACACACUAUCAUUAACUGAAUCCAUAGGUUAAUGAGGCGAACCGGGGGAACUGAAACAUCUAAGUACCCCGAGGAAAAGAAAUCAACCGAGAUUCCCCCAGUAGCGGCGAGCGAACGGGGAGCAGCCCAGAGCCUGAAUCAGUGUGUGUGUUAGUGGAAGCGUCUGGAAAGGCGUGCGAUACAGGGUGACAGCCCCGUACACAAAAAUGCACAUAUUGUGAGCUCGAUGAGUAGGGCGGGACACGUGGUAUCCUGUCUGAAUAUGGGGGGACCAUCCUCCAAGGCUAAAUACUCCUGACUGACCGAUAGUGAACCAGUACCGUGAGGGAAAGGCGAAAAGAACCCCGGCGAGGGGAGUGAAAAAGAACCUGAAACCGUGUACGUACAAGCAGUGGGAGCACGCUUAGGCGUGUGACUGCGUACCUUUUGUAUAAUGGGUCAGCGACUUAUAUUCUGUAGCAAGGUUAACCGAAUAGGGGAGCCGAAGGGAAACCGAGUCUUAACUGGGCGUUAAGUUGCAGGGUAUAGACCCGAAACCCGGUGAUCUAGCCAUGGGCAGGUUGAAGGUUGGGUAACACUAACUGGAGGACCGAACCGACUAAUGUUGAAAAAUUAGCGGAUGACUUGUGGCUGGGGGUGAAAGGCCAAUCAAACCGGGAGAUAGCUGGUUCUCCCCGAAAGCUAUUUAGGUAGCGCCUCGUGAAUUCAUCUCCGGGGGUAGAGCACUGUUUCGGCAAGGGGGUCAUCCCGACUUACCAACCCGAUGCAAACUGCGAAUACCGGAGAAUGUUAUCACGGGAGACACACGGCGGGUGCUAACGUCCGUCGUGAAGAGGGAAACAACCCAGACCGCCAGCUAAGGUCCCAAAGUCAUGGUUAAGUGGGAAACGAUGUGGGAAGGCCCAGACAGCCAGGAUGUUGGCUUAGAAGCAGCCAUCAUUUAAAGAAAGCGUAAUAGCUCACUGGUCGAGUCGGCCUGCGCGGAAGAUGUAACGGGGCUAAACCAUGCACCGAAGCUGCGGCAGCGACGCUGAUGCGUUGUUGGGUAGGGGAGCGUUCUGUAAGCCUGUGAAGGUGUGCUGUGAGGCAUGCUGGAGGUAUCAGAAGUGCGAAUGCUGACAUAAGUAACGAUAAAGCGGGUGAAAAGCCCGCUCGCCGGAAGACCAAGGGUUCCUGUCCAACGUUAAUCGGGGCAGGGUGAGUCGACCCCUAAGGCGAGGCCGAAAGGCGUAGUCGAUGGGAAACAGGUUAAUAUUCCUGUACUUGGUGUUACUGCGAAGGGGGGACGGAGAAGGCUAUGUUGGCCGGGCGACGGUUGUCCCGGUUUAAGCGUGUAGGCUGGUUUUCCAGGCAAAUCCGGAAAAUCAAGGCUGAGGCGUGAUGACGAGGCACUACGGUGCUGAAGCAACAAAUGCCCUGCUUCCAGGAAAAGCCUCUAAGCAUCAGGUAACAUCAAAUCGUACCCCAAACCGACACAGGUGGUCAGGUAGAGAAUACCAAGGCGCUUGAGAGAACUCGGGUGAAGGAACUAGGCAAAAUGGUGCCGUAACUUCGGGAGAAGGCACGCUGAUAUGUAGGUGAAGUCCCUUGCGGAUGGAGCUGAAAUCAGUCGAAGAUACCAGCUGGCUGCAACUGUUUAUUAAAAACACAGCACUGUGCAAACACGAAAGUGGACGUAUACGGUGUGACGCCUGCCCGGUGCCGGAAGGUUAAUUGAUGGGGUCAGCGCAAGCGAAGCUCUUGAUCGAAGCCCCGGUAAACGGCGGCCGUAACUAUAACGGUCCUAAGGUAGCGAAAUUCCUUGUCGGGUAAGUUCCGACCUGCACGAAUGGCGUAAUGAUGGCCAGGCUGUCUCCACCCGAGACUCAGUGAAAUUGAACUCGCUGUGAAGAUGCAGUGUACCCGCGGCAAGACGGAAAGACCCCGUGAACCUUUACUAUAGCUUGACACUGAACAUUGAGCCUUGAUGUGUAGGAUAGGUGGGAGGCUUAGAAGUGUGGACGCCAGUCUGCAUGGAGCCGACCUUGAAAUACCACCCUUUAAUGUUUGAUGUUCUAACGUUGACCCGUAAUCCGGGUUGCGGACAGUGUCUGGUGGGUAGUUUGACUGGGGCGGUCUCCUCCUAAAGAGUAACGGAGGAGCACGAAGGUUGGCUAAUCCUGGUCGGACAUCAGGAGGUUAGUGCAAUGGCAUAAGCCAGCUUGACUGCGAGCGUGACGGCGCGAGCAGGUGCGAAAGCAGGUCAUAGUGAUCCGGUGGUUCUGAAUGGAAGGGCCAUCGCUCAACGGAUAAAAGGUACUCCGGGGAUAACAGGCUGAUACCGCCCAAGAGUUCAUAUCGACGGCGGUGUUUGGCACCUCGAUGUCGGCUCAUCACAUCCUGGGGCUGAAGUAGGUCCCAAGGGUAUGGCUGUUCGCCAUUUAAAGUGGUACGCGAGCUGGGUUUAGAACGUCGUGAGACAGUUCGGUCCCUAUCUGCCGUGGGCGCUGGAGAACUGAGGGGGGCUGCUCCUAGUACGAGAGGACCGGAGUGGACGCAUCACUGGUGUUCGGGUUGUCAUGCCAAUGGCACUGCCCGGUAGCUAAAUGCGGAAGAGAUAAGUGCUGAAAGCAUCUAAGCACGAAACUUGCCCCGAGAUGAGUUCUCCCUGACUCCUUGAGAGUCCUGAAGGAACGUUGAAGACGACGACGUUGAUAGGCCGGGUGUGUAAGCGCAGCGAUGCGUUGAGCUAACCGGUACUAAUGAACCGUGAGGCUUAACCUU